Molecule: transfer RNA, 72 nt
Filed under: Camelus bactrianus (Bactrian camel)
Lineage: Eukaryota; Metazoa; Chordata; Mammalia; Artiodactyla; Camelidae
Also listed under: 2 other names
Rfam family: tRNA
About the family: Transfer RNA (tRNA) molecules are approximately 80 nucleotides in length. Their secondary structure includes four short double-helical elements and three loops (D, anti-codon, and T loops). Further hydrogen bonds mediate the characteristic L-shaped molecular structure. tRNAs have two regions of fundamental functional importance: the anti-codon, which is responsible for specific mRNA codon recognition, and the 3' end, to which the tRNAs corresponding amino acid is attached (by aminoacyl-tRNA synthetases). tRNAs cope with the degeneracy of the genetic code in two manners: having more than one tRNA (with a specific anti-codon) for a particular amino acid; and 'wobble' base-pairing, i.e. permitting non-standard base-pairing at the 3rd anti-codon position.
Source: Rfam by way of RNAcentral
GUGGGUAUAGUUCAGUGGUAGAACACAUGCUUAGCAUGCACGGGGUCCUGGGUUCAAUCCCCAGGACCUCCA